ACGAUGAAGAGUUUGAUCCUGGCUCAGGAUGAACGCUAGCGGCAGGCUUAACACAUGCAAGUCGAGGGGUAUAGUUCUUCGGAAUUAGAGACCGGCGCACGGGUGCGUAACGCGUAUGCAAUCUACCUUUCACAGAGGGAUAGCCCAGAGAAAUUUGGAUUAAUACCUCAUAGUAUGCAGAGUUGGCAUCAACACUGUAUUAAAGUCACAACGGUGAAAGAUGAGCAUGCGUCCCAUUAGCUAGUUGGUAAGGUAACGGCUUACCAAGGCUACGAUGGGUAGGGGUCCUGAGAGGGAGAUCCCCCACACUGGUACUGAGACACGGACCAGACUCCUACGGGAGGCAGCAGUGAGGAAUAUUGGACAAUGGGCGCAAGCCUGAUCCAGCCAUGCCGCGUGCAGGAUGACGGUCCUAUGGAUUGUAAACUGCUUUUGUACAGGAAGAAACACUCCUUCGUGAAGGAGCUUGACGGUACUGUAAGAAUAAGGAUCGGCUAACUCCGUGCCAGCAGCCGCGGUAAUACGGAGGAUCCAAGCGUUAUCCGGAAUCAUUGGGUUUAAAGGGUCCGUAGGCG
RNAcentral lists this ribosomal RNA (575 nucleotides) under Flavobacterium granuli. RNAcentral's name for it is "bacterial SSU rRNA". It matches the Rfam family "Bacterial small subunit ribosomal RNA", at positions 1 to 577 of the family's 1533-position model. The record is from RNAcentral. Lineage: Bacteria; Pseudomonadati; Bacteroidota; Flavobacteriia; Flavobacteriales; Flavobacteriaceae.